Molecule: ribosomal RNA, 497 nt
Filed under: uncultured bacterium
Lineage: Bacteria
Description: partial 16S ribosomal RNA
Rfam family: Bacterial small subunit ribosomal RNA
Source: RNAcentral
GAUGAAAGAGGGAGGCGUGCCUAAUACAUGCAAGUCGAGCGAACAGAUAAGGAGCUUGCUCCUUUGACGUUAGCGGCGGACGGGUGAGUAACACGUGGGUAACCUACCUAUAAGACUGGAAUAACUCCGGGAAACCGGGGCUAAUGCCGGAUAACAUUUAGAACCGCAUGGUUCUAAAGUGAAAGAUGGUUUUGCUAUCACUUAUAGAUGGACCCGCGCCGUAUUAGCUAGUUGGUAAGGUAACGGCUUACCAAGGCAACGAUACGUAGCCGACCUGAGAGGGUGAUCGGCCACACUGGAACUGAGACACGGUCCAGACUCCUACGGGAGGCAGCAGUAGGGAAUCUUCCGCAAUGGGCGAAAGCCUGACGGAGCAACGCCGCGUGAGUGAUGAAGGUCUUCGGAUCGUAAAACUCUGUUAUUAGGGAAGAACAAAUGUGUAAGUAACUGUGCACGUCUUGACGGUACCUAAUCAGAAAGCCACGGCUAACUACGUG